Molecule: long non-coding RNA, 1207 nt
Filed under: Apteryx haastii (Great spotted kiwi)
Lineage: Eukaryota; Metazoa; Chordata; Aves; Apterygiformes; Apterygidae
Description: lncRNA (ENSAHAG00000003740.1)
Source: RNAcentral
CGGGGUGAAAUAGAGCUGGCUGGGCACCCGUCCGGGUGAAAAUACAAGUAUCCGGGCACCUUUUGGGGGGAAAACAUAGGUAUCCAGGCACCUUUCUGGGGGAAAACGCAGGUGUCCAGGCACCCUGUUUCCAGGAGAAUGGAGGCAUCUGGGCACCUUUUUGGGGGAAAAUAGAGGUAUCUGGGCACCUGUUUGGGGGAGAGCCCAGGUGUCCGGGCACCCUGGUUCCGGGAGAGCCCAGGUGUCCGGGCAACUAAUUGGGGGAAAACACCGGUAUCUGGGCACCCGCCUGGGGGGGAACCCAGGCAUCCGGGCACCGUUUUGGGGUAAAACGCAGGUAUCGAGGCACCCGUCUGGGGGGAACACAGGAGUCUGGGCACGGUUUGGGGGGAAAACGGAGGUAUCUGGGCACCCGUCUGGGGGACAACGCUGACGUCCAGGCACCCGUUUUGGGGAGAACGCAGGCGUCUGGGCGCCUUUUGGGGGAGAAUACAGGUAUCUGGGCACCCGUCUGGGGGAAAGUACCGGCGUCAAGGCACCCGUUUGGGGGAGAAUACAGGAGUCCGGGUAUCUUUUUUGGGGAAAAUACAGGUAUCCAGGCACCGUCUGGGGGACAAUGCAGGCGUCCGGGCACCGUUUUGGGGAGAACACAGGCAUCUGGGCACCUUUUGGGGGCAAAACACAGCCAUCCGGGGACCCGUUUGGGGGGGAAAACCCAGGCGCCCGGGCACCCCGCUUCCGGGUGUCCGGACCGGCUCCGUGGGGAGCUGGGAAGGGGCCAGCGGCUCCGGCGGCCCUGCCCUGGGCGCGGCGAGCCACGUCCGCCAGGGAGGGAGCCGAGCCGGGCGGGAAUCUCGGGGCGCCGCCGGGCCAAAACGGCGGCGCUCGCGUCAAGCCGGCACGGAGGCGGCUCCCGGGGCGCGGUGCAACGGUGCCGCCCGGACUUUGCUCCGCUCGGAGCCGAGCCGAGCCUCCGCGAGCCGCCCCGGUAGCCGCGUCCCCUCCCUGCAGGCGGCGCCGGGCCACGCCGACGGCAAAGGCGGCGGCGGCGGCAAGGCCAACAUGCUGCGGGGCCGCAACUCGGCCACGUCCGCCGACGAGCAGCCCCACAUCGGCAACUACCGCCUGCUGCGCACCAUCGGCAAGGGCAACUUCGCCAAGGUCAAGCUGGCCCGGCACGUCCUCACCGGCAAGGAGGUCGCCGUGA